Molecule: long non-coding RNA, 1487 nt
Filed under: Oryzias javanicus (javanese ricefish)
Lineage: Eukaryota; Metazoa; Chordata; Actinopteri; Beloniformes; Adrianichthyidae
Description: lncRNA (ENSOJAG00000018331.1)
Source: RNAcentral
AUGUCGUACCCAGAGACCCCGGACCCCCCUGCCCUCCCCCAUCUACCGGACCCCCCGCUGCUGUCUUGGCACUGUUGGCGUGGCCCGUCACUGCAGCCCCGCCCACUUUCAUGUGCAGUAACGGGGGCGGGGCCAGGACGCAGCCCCUCCCACUCCCAGCUGUCUGUCCCGGCUGCACGGCCCCCCCACCGGAUGCUGGUGGUCCGUUCGGUUUGGGGGCGUGUUCUCCUUCAGAGGCUCCGCCCAACACAGAGGAGUCCUCAGAAAGCGGGUUUCCUGCCGUUGCCGUGGAAACGGGCUGCUGGUUCAAAAAGACGAUUUCAUCCAGGAGGGACGACAGGCCGUCGCUGUCCGGCGCCGGCGGCCGGCUUCCAGCGUGAAGAUCCGGGUUCUGACCCGGACCGUGAGGGCGUGCAGACGAGUUGGAUUCCUCCGACGAGCUCAGUACUAACUCUCUCCUCUGGGACACCCACCUCCCUGAGCUGGCGCCUUGGGGCCGGCGGUCUUCACGUGGCACACAGGAAGCAGCUGGACCAACUUCCCGUCAGACUUGCGGUAAUACUUGACGCCCGACAGAGACUGCACUGGAUGUAGGAUCAUCCUCGGCGGGUUCGGUAAGGGUCCGGGCGCCUGGGGGGCCACGACCGAUAUAGGAACAGCUUUGCGUGGGCCGGGGACUUGAAGGAGCAACAUUUGGGGGGCUUUAGAAGCCGUGGGGGUCCCGCUCUUUUUGAGCUGCGGGUCUAAAAACAGACGGUAAAAGUUCAGGUCAAAGGGCGAGUCCAACCAGACGGCGGCACAAGAGACACGAGUGCUUACCUGUGGGGGCCAACGCCACAGUGGUGGUGGCGGGGAGCACAGAUGGGGCGGAGCUGACCGAGUCCCGAGGACGUCUGCAGCGCAGUAAAAAGGCCUUGCGCCUCUGGGUGGAGGCUGCGCGGCCCGUCAGGAACGCUGCCAGGCGGUUGGCCGGGUGGAGCGCCCCCAUCCUGCCCAACUCAAUCUUUACCAGGUUGAAGUCCUUCCCGUUGACCUGCAGAACCACAGAGACGAUUACGUACACACUGGAACAGCGCCGCACACGGGCAGCAGCAGGAGCUCGUCCACCUCCUGCAAGAGGUAGAGCGCGGAGCGAAGAGUCAAAGCGGUACAGGUCCUGUUCCAGAUCUUUAGUUUUCACAACUCUGUUUUUCCAAUAAAUAUCCGUCUUUUAUCAAGUCCCUGAUUGGUCACAGCCCUGAGUUACUGCAGGAUUCAAUAUAAAAACGUUCCAUUGGUUGAACAGUAAACGCACAAUCAAUGGACGCCGGAUUUGUAUGCAGAAGUGCUGCUGCAAACGAUUAUUUUAAUAGUCGAUUAAUCGGCGAUUAUUUUUUCCGAUUAGUCGACUAAUCGACUGAUGCGCAGAGUGGAUGUAAAACACAAAUCUUAACCAUCAUGAGCUGUAAACUAACUAAAACUAGAUAUAUAGCAUUACCUGCAAUUAU